This 181-nucleotide ribosomal RNA is filed under the name uncultured bacterium. RNAcentral's name for it is "partial 16S ribosomal RNA". It matches the Rfam family "Bacterial small subunit ribosomal RNA", at positions 334 to 522 of the family's 1533-position model. The record is from RNAcentral.
AUGUCCUACGGGAGGAAGCAGUCGAGGAUCUUCGGCAAUGGGCGCAAGCCUGACCGAGCGACGCCGCGUGUGCGAUGAAGGCCUUCGGGUUGUAAAGCACUGUCGAGGGGAGGAAGGCCCGCAAGGGCUUGACCUAUCCCUGGAGGAAGCACGGGCUAAGUUCGUGCCAGCAGCCGCGGUA